This is a non-coding RNA of Phasianus colchicus (ring-necked pheasant), 1190 nucleotides long. NCBI's taxonomy places the organism in Eukaryota, Metazoa, Chordata, Aves, Galliformes, Phasianidae. The record is from RefSeq and is a predicted model, not a curated record.
GCGCUCCUAUUGGCUGGCGGAGCCGGGGACACCUAUAUAAGGCGCAAGGAGGAAAACGUCCUCACAGCGUGACAGGAAACCACUGCUCUGAGGAACAGGCGGCAAGCGGCACCCCGGGCUGAGGUAAGAGGACGGCGCGGUGGGAAAGCGACAUCGCGGGGACGGGAUGGGACAAUGCCAGGCAGGCUUGCUGGGUGGAAGGAACGGGGACGGAACGAGACGAGACAAGAGGGACACGAGCGGCGUCCGCGGGCUGAGGGGCCCCUGCAGAAGACAGCGGAAGAAGCCGUGUGUGGAACUGGGAGGCAGGAGGGCACAUGAAGAGGGCGCACAAAGAGGAAGCAGAAGACUGCAGCUGGGCUAAGGAAGAGGUGGCCAGGCCUGUGUGGUAGUAGUGUGGCCACGGCUGCCCUGUAUCCAGGGCUUGGGUCUGUGCCUACGUGUCCUGCUGGCGAAGUGACAGCCCUGUACCCGAGACGUGUGUCACAAGCUGUGGAACCCUCUGUCCCUGAUGCGGCUCCCCCCCAUAAUUAGGUUUGGAGAGGCUGUGCUGGUGCAGCCAGUUGCUUUAGUCAGCUGGUGGGAGCAGUCCCUUCCUGGCCUGAUAGAGAGUGCAGGUUGAGGUGCUACUUGUGGCUGGGGCAACCUCCCUGCUGUGCAGGGAGAGGUUGCUCCUUGGGCUCCUGAAGACGUGAUAGUGGUGACCAUGCUGCAGCCAGGAGUCCCUGCGGAAGAAGCUGUGUUUGGAACCGUGGGAUGUGCCUUACACACAUUGAUACAAGGUUUGGAAUGCAGCAGUCCUCUCUGGCUGUGUCUUCCAGCAGGAAGAGAAGGAAUGUCCCCAGUGAGAAGGAAUGAGGUUCCCAAGACACAGCACAAUGUGACCCACAAGGCAGAGAAAAAUCUGAACACAAAUGCAGGGUAGAAAUAGUGGCAGUGUGUGCAUACUGCUGUUUGGAAGAGGGCACUGAUAUGCAGCCUGGGAAUGGCAGCAGUAGCUAGGACAUCACAUCUGCUGCCUGAAGCGUUCAAAGUAAAGUGGUUGUACUCUUUUUCUUUUAAUUAACCAUGCUUAUGAUUUGCUGAAAAACUCAGUAAGUGAUGUAUAGGAAUGAGGUGAUACUUGAACUGUCUGCUUGGCUGCACAGUGUCUUUGUUUAAUAAAGAUUAAUUUAUCCUACAUGCAUCGA